GGCCCUCGAAAAUACUUUUUAAAAAACUGUACUAAAGAAAAACAAGGAAAGAAGCUUUAGUCUGGGCUCCCCCUGGAGAAGAGGACGGAUGCACGCCAGAGCCAGGCGUGGCAGCAGGAAGGAGACGGUUGACUUUGUGCUCAGCCUCAGGAGAGGGCCGUGGCAAAGUAAUCUACAAUAUUACCUUCAUGUACUCUGAAAACUACUGGGAACUCUCUGAGUUCUAGUCAUUUUCUCUUUGCCCUUCAUGAGAGAGAAGAGGUGGGGAAGCCUGACUCAUAAGAAGC
Non-coding RNA from Microcebus murinus (gray mouse lemur), 287 nucleotides. The record is from RefSeq and is a predicted model, not a curated record. Lineage: Eukaryota; Metazoa; Chordata; Mammalia; Primates; Cheirogaleidae.